This is a long non-coding RNA of Biomphalaria glabrata, 3858 nucleotides long. RefSeq lists it as uncharacterized. The transcript has 12 exons. Lineage: Eukaryota; Metazoa; Mollusca; Gastropoda; Planorbidae. The record is from RefSeq and is a predicted model, not a curated record.
UACUAAUCAACUACUAGCCUGGAAGAUAAAAGCCAAAGCUGUAAACAGACAGGUCAGCUUAACAAGUGCACAUUCUCUGCUGCCAACAGUACCAAUUUGUCAUCCAAGCAACAAAUAUUCCUUGGUAAUCUGCUAUCAGAUGACAGUUAUCUCUUUGGCAUUUUUAUGAAUUAAAGCUUUCAAAGCCAAACUUCAGAUUUGCUUAGCAUAUUCCUGUACUACAUAUCAACAAAUGUUUGAUGGUUUGUCUGGUUCAUCUCUUAACACUAUGAAGAUGGCUACACUAAUCUUAACAAGAAAACAUUCUGUUGCCAACAGUACCAAUUUGUCAUCCUAUCCAAGCAACUACUAUUCCUUGGUAAUCUGCUAUCAGAUGAUUACAGUUUUCUCUUUGGCAUUUGUAUGAAUUAAAGCUUUCAAAGCCAAACCUUAGAUUUGGUUAGCAUAACCCUGAACUGCAUAUCAACAAAUGUCUAAUGGUCUGUCUGGUUCAUUUCUCAAGACUAUGAAGAUGGCUACACAAUGAGUACAAAGUUUUAUUUUCAUUCACCAAACAAAUUUUACAAAAGAAGAAAAUAUUAAAAGCUAUAGGGUAUCAGCUAUCAGCAGUGCACCCCUAUGAUACACAAGUCUUCAUUGCCAAGUCACUCUGCCAAACAGUGUGUACACCUUUCUUGCAUUGGUAGUGACCCACUUUACUGUCAUGAGUCUGGAUAUGUCAGGCCAAGGAGAUCAAGUUUGUGUCCAAGGUUACUUAGUCAAUUCUCUAAGAAAAAUAGACAGACUCUACAUGCUACUGAUCUGGAGGUUAGUGGCUCAAUCAUUGUGCACUGAUUCUUCACUGAUGCCUUGAUUCUCCACUGUCAACUUUAUUGUCAUAAAGUUUAUCUAGUGAUCUACAUAUCAAGACUAAAUGGUCAAUUAAACAUGAGGUCAAGGAAAAAGGAUGAACAUUUCAAGGCUACUGAAGGAACAUUAAACGUCUCUCUCACUGUGAAAAGAUUCUACCGAUCUACAAAUGAUCAACAUGUUUUAUCUUAGGUUCGUCUGCCAUUUCUUCAAAUGGAGCCAUAUUAAGAAUAAGAUUCUUUUUGUUCUUCCUUAGGUUCAAAUGUAUCAGUUGUUUUUGUUGACAGAUAUCAAGUUUAGUUGCCUACCAGCAGUUUGGUGCUACAAGUCAACAACAGACUAAAUUAAAUAAAGCCAUGUCUAUUUCUACAUGAUUUUGUUGCUACUAACCUGGUGUUACUAACAACUAACUCGAAAAGGGAGAGGGGAAUUAUCAUCUUAUUCAUGUACUAUUUACAUUAGAUUUUUACCAAAUUAUUAAAUUUUUACUACCCUUACUAUUUUAACUGUGAAUAGACCUUGAUUUUAAUGAUUUAACUGUAUAGAAUUUAGCCCCUGUUAUGUAGAGAGAGAGAGAGUAGUCCUUAAGGGACUGCAGGCACGACAUGGCCUAAAUUGUGCAGAUGUGCAUAAAAUCAAAGAAAUAAAACAUUAACAAAAUGUGUAUUAUAAUUGUCACUUUUCCUCUACUUAGAAUUUUUUUCUCUCCUAGAUUUUCAUAAUUUUUUGUUGAAGUCAUUUCAGUUCUCAAUUAUUUUGUGCACCAAGUUACAAGAAAAAAUUUAAGCAAGAGAGGUCACUACACUAAGACUUUGUCUUCUCAUAAAGGAUGGCUGCCUGGUCAUGUGAUAUGUGCACUGGACUGUGUAUGGUCAUCUUGAUGCUCAUAUCUUGCCUGAUGACAUUUAUUCUGCUGAACAUUUGGUCAAGGAAGUAGAUUCUCUUCAGCUCUCAAGAAACAUUCAAAACAUGUCAAACAUUCGACAAGAAUAUCAAGUGCAAUGUACAUACCAACAUGAUGAAAAGGUAGACAACAUGAUGAAGAUGUAGACCAACAUGAAGAUGAAAUGUAAACCAAAAAAUGGGUCAAGAGAUGUAUGGAAUACAAUGUGAACAUCUUGAGAAGUAAAACAAUUCCUAGAGGCAAAGACACAGACACACCGGAUCUAUUAGAGAUUUUCCUUUUCUACCAUCAUUUAGAGACUUCCUUGUGCUCUAAGGGAACCUGUCAUUAUCUUUUGAUUGCUAAUUGGCAUUGAUGUUUUUACAUUCCUACUGCGUCUGAAAGAAAUUAACAUUUCCCUAAUGCUACUUCAAAACCAGACCUUCUCAAGACAAUUUUAGUGACCAAGCUGCAAUAUGGGACUCAGUAGGAAACAAUGAAGAAUGCUCCUAACCUCAGGUUGAGUAACCAUGCUCACCUACUAGAGUGGCGACAAAUACUUCUACACCCACAGUUAUACAUCCUGAACCCUGUAACCCAACCUCACAACAUGGUUACAUUACCGGAAGUGGUCGCAAGGUCAGAAAACCUAACAGAUACAAUGGAUAGAACAAUGAACAGGUACAAGUACUCAAGUGAUGUACUUUGUGAGAACUAUUUAGGUGGAAUCACCAUAAUUGACUUGUAUAAAUCUUGUUCUAUAUUUAGGUAUAUCUUGACAAUCAGUCCAGUCAUUUGUUCAUUUUUUUUUUAAAUAUUCCUUUUUUUUUCCCUCAAUCUUCUUGUUGUUUCAGUUACAUGUUUUUGUAUUUUGAAGGAGGAAGGUGCUUUGGUAUAUUAUCGUUAUUAUUAUUGUACCAGUAUUAAGCAAACUUGUAUAUCUUUAAUUAUUCAUGAAUUCUAAAGCAGAACGUCACUUCCACUGGAAAAUGUUGUAACAACUAUACGUGUCUUCAGUUAACAUUCAAUACUCUGUACAGUAACAACGCCAAGGCCUUGCUAGAUUAUGCUUUUAAUUCAAUUUGUUAUCUCCCCUGCUUUAGUGUGCUAUCAUAUAAUUUUUUGUGUCACAUCCCUGCACAAUUUGUUCUAUGCUUUUUUACAGUAUAAAUAGCGACUUGACAUUAUUUAGCUCUAUUAUAAUAUUGUUAUAUUAUUAUAUUUAAAAUAAAACUGUUAACAUAUUCUAUGCUGUUAUAAUAUAAAUGUUUUGCUGUUACCAUGAAUACAGUUUUGAGUUUUUGUCUUAUUUCUUAGAGGAGAAAUUUUUCAUAAAUAAUAAUAAUAAGGCUUAUCUUCAAGUCCGAAGAUUAGUGAGAAGUAUGCAGUAUUCCCCAGCUAGGACCUACAUAUUUUGCUAUAAAUAAAGAUUAUAAUAAUAUUUACUACUUGGUAUUGUCAGUCUUCACUAAAGCAAUGAGUUUAUCCCCUUAGUGUGUUUAAAAUUUUCAAAUACUAAUUCACUUUGUAUUAUCUAUUGGUGAUCAUGGGGUAUCCACUUUGUCAUCUCCAUAGUCUCUGGUGUUAACACUCACUGUCCUGUUGGAGGUUACGGCUAGGAUGUUAUCUCUCUUUCUGAUGGAACACAUGUAAAACCAACAAAACAAACAUUAGACCUAGACUUUAUUAACAGGUAAAUUUUUAUAAUUGUGAACUGGCGCUCCCAAAGCUACUUUUAUGUAUUUUUAAUUUUAUUUCUGUAGGCUAGUGCUAAGCUGUAUACUUGUAUUUCUGCCUAUUAUAUGGGUUAGGGUGGAGUACUUAAAAUAGAGCCUAUGCUGUUUCCUGUACUGUUGACCAGUGGUAUCUGUGUAAGUUUUAAUUAUUCUGUAACUGGGACUGCCUGUAAGUUUCAGAAUUUUUUUUUUAUUAUUCAAAAUUUUACUAUGUGUAAAUCUGUUUUGAACAACUGUCAAAAUAACUAGCUGUUUUUUUUUCUAAAGUUUGUUUUAAAACUAUGGCCAAGCCUCUGCCCAGUGCUGUCAUGAUGGCCACUUCUAAUGUUUAUGUACUAGAUUGUAACUGCUGCCUUAGUCAUUGAAAUUAAAGUCUCAUUUUUGAAUUUC